UACAGAGGUGGCAAGCGUUGUUCGGAAUUACUGGGCGUAAAGGGCGAGUAGGUGGCCUUCUAAGUCAGACGUGAAAUCCCCCGGCUUAACCUGGGAACCGCGUCUGAUACUGGACGGCUUGAGUAUGGGAGAGGAACGUAGAAUUCCAGGUGUAGCGGUGAAAUGCGUAGAUAUCUGGAGGAAUACCGGUGGCGAAGGCGGCGUUCUGGACCAUUACUGACACUGAAUCGCGAAAGCUAGGGGAGCAAACGGG
Molecule: ribosomal RNA, 253 nt
Filed under: uncultured bacterium
Lineage: Bacteria
Description: partial 16S ribosomal RNA
Rfam family: Bacterial small subunit ribosomal RNA
Source: RNAcentral